ACCGGAAGCAUUAGCAUUAGCCGUUACGCUUUUUUGGCUAAAAGUUGCAGGCUUGCCUUGUAGUGGCUUUGCUUAAAUUAGAUGUUUCAUGGGUGUUUGUU
Molecule: long non-coding RNA, 101 nt
Organism: Sinocyclocheilus anshuiensis
Lineage: Eukaryota; Metazoa; Chordata; Actinopteri; Cypriniformes; Cyprinidae
Exons: 4
Source: RefSeq, a predicted model, not a curated record